UACGUAGGUGGCAAGCGUUGUCCGGAUUUAUUGGGCGUAAAGCGAGUGCAGGCGGUUCAAUAAGUCUGAAGUGAAAGCCCGCGGCUCAACUGCGGAACGGCUUUGGAAACUGAGUAACUGGAGUGCUGGAGGGGCAGGCGGAAUUCCUGGUGUAGCGGUGAAAUGCGUAGAUAUCAGGAGGAACACCGGUGGCGAAGGCGGCCUGCUGGACAGUAACUGACGUUGAGGCUCGAAAGCGUGGGGAGCAAACAGG
This 253-nucleotide ribosomal RNA is filed under the name uncultured Lachnospiraceae bacterium. RNAcentral describes it as "partial 16S ribosomal RNA". It matches the Rfam family "Bacterial small subunit ribosomal RNA", at positions 524 to 776 of the family's 1533-position model. Lineage: Bacteria; Bacillati; Bacillota; Clostridia; Lachnospirales; Lachnospiraceae. The record is from RNAcentral.